CUUAGCUAUAAAAACUGAUCAAAUAAUUUGUUUGUUUGUUAGAUGCAAAAGAAAAAAAAGUAUGGCAAAAACUCUUAAGUUUGUUUGUGUUGUAGUGAUCCUCUUUCUUUUCCUAAUUCUUGUUGCUGCUGAAAUGGAUGAACUUAGAUGGUCGUGUACAGAAGACAAACAUUGUCCAAUGUGCAAAUCUCCUCAAUUUAUGGCGUGCAUUGAUUAUAAAUGUUCUUGUUGGUAACAAUUAUAGUUAUUUAGUUAUGAUGUUUAUGUGUAUUUUGAUGUAGACUAUUAGAUGUUGUUGUGAUUUUUAUGUAAGCAAUUUAUGUUAAUUAAGUUAUGUUUGAAGUUAAAUUAGUUGUUAUGUGAUAUGUAAUGAUUAUUGUGUGAUUUUGUAUUGAUCCGAAGAUUUCUGGUUUCCGAAAUCGAUUUUAAGUUUAGCACAUUCAAUUUCUCAAUUAAAGACUAGAAAAUCUGGAAAACAAAGAAUGAAGAGCCAACCAAAGUAACAAAGUAUUUAAAAAUUAUCAAAAUUCACCUGGCGAGCAGAGCCAUUAGCCUGGAAAAUUGAAAUAGAUAGCAAGAAUAUGGCAACAGGGAAAAUUUGACACAAUGAACUUCCCUUCUUCUGGAGAAUUAUGGCGGUUCAAUGACCCACGUAGAUGAUCUGGAAAAUACAUGAAGCUGAAGAAAUGUCAAUUAACCUAGUAAGCAUGUAAUUUGCAGGUGGGAAUUCACUUUUUCAAAAUCACUUUGUAAAAUUGAGAAAAAUACAGAGAUAGUAGCGAUAAGCUUCAUGAUGACAUUCUGUCAUUACUCUUUUAGUAGACAUUUUUCAUGUAAUUUUAGGAGUUAUUUAUUGGAAUUCAUGGAGCUGCAAGCCACAAAAGACAAAGAAAAUGAAGUUUGAAGUAUUGGAAAUCGGCCACCGAUUUUGCUGCCAUUUUGCAGACUUUGGAAUUCGACAAAAAUCGGCCGCCGAUAAGCAUACAUCGGGCGCCGAUUUCGCACCACCGGGCCACGCAUUUGAGAUUUCGGCCACCGAUUUUGGAGCUCGGUGGCCGAUUUUUACUUGCCUAUAAAUAUAAAGAGGUGUUUUCUGAUUAAGGGUUCACGAAUUUUGAGACCUAAAAGCAUAUUUUGGAGCAGAGACUUUGGAGAUCUGGUGGGCAACCAUCAAAACUAAUAGUCAAUCAUCCAUUACAUUGCCAUACUUCAAAGGAAGUUGCCUCCAAAGCUUAAAGACCCAGGUGCAUUCACCAUACCUUGCACCAUUGGGAAGGUAAGCGUGGGAAACGCCUUGUGUGACUUGGGGGCUAGCAUUAAUCUUAUGCUCUUAGCCAUGAUGAAGAAGCUAGGAUGUGGGGAACCUAAACCUACAAUGAUGACGCUUACUCUAGCUGAUCGUUCUAUUUCUUAUCCUUAUGGAGUGCUGGAAGAUGUUUUAGUAAAGGUGAAUGAUUUACUUUUCCCCGCUGAUUUUGUGAUUCUUGAUAUGGAGGAAGAUGACGAACUUCCUUUGUUGUUGGGAAGACAGUUUCUAGCAACCGGUAGAGCACUCUUUGAUGUGGAGAUGGGAGAAUUGAUGCUUCGUUUUCAAGAUGAACAAGUUGUGUUUAAUAUUUUCGAAGCUAUGAAACAUAGAAGUGAAAAUCCACAAUGUUACCGAGUUGAUGUGGUGGACCAUAUUGUUGAAGAAACCACAACUAAGGAGUCUCCAGCUCCAACUUUAGAAAGGGUGAUUGUAAAUUCGAUUGAAAGCAAU
This is a long non-coding RNA of Medicago truncatula (barrel medic), 1759 nucleotides long. RefSeq lists it as uncharacterized. The record is from RefSeq and is a predicted model, not a curated record. Lineage: Eukaryota; Viridiplantae; Streptophyta; Magnoliopsida; Fabales; Fabaceae. The transcript has 3 exons.